RNAcentral lists this ribosomal RNA (1478 nucleotides) under human gut metagenome. Its description in RNAcentral is "bacterial LSU rRNA". It matches the Rfam family "Bacterial large subunit ribosomal RNA", at positions 1061 to 2561 of the family's 2925-position model. The record is from RNAcentral.
AAGUGGAAAAGGAUGUGGAGAUGCACAGACAACUAGGAGGUUGGCUUAGAAGCAGCCAUCCUUUAAAGAGUGCGUAAUAGCUCACUAGUCGAGUGACUCUGCGCCGAAAAUGUACCGGGGCUAAACGGACCGCCGAAGCUGCGGAUUGACUUUAGAGUCAGUGGUAGGAGAGCGUUCUAACAGCGGUGAAGCAGUACCGGAAGGAGCUGUGGAGCGGUUAGAAGUGAGAAUGCCGGUGUGAGUAGCGAAAGAUAGGUGAGAAUCCUAUCCAUCGAAAGCCUAAGGUUUCCAGGGGAAGGCUCGUCCGCCCUGGGUAAGUCGGGACCUAAGGUGAGGCCGAAAGGCGUAGCCGAUGGACAACAGGUUGAUAUUCCUGUACCACUUAUUAAACUGAUGGAGUGACGGAGAAGGCUAAGUUGAGCGUGUGAUUGGAUUCACGUGUAAGCAGUGAGGUGGUCAUGUAGGCAAAUCCGCAUGGCAUAACAUUGAGCUGUGAUGCCGAAGCCGAAUGGCGAAGUCAACUGACGUCACGCUUCCAAGAAAAGCUUCUAGGGUUAAUUUAAUAAGUGCCCGUACCGAUAACCGACACAGGUAGGCGAGGAGAGAAUCCUAAGAUGAGCGAGAGAACUCUUGUUAAGGAACUCGGCAAAAUGACCCCGUAACUUCGGGAGAAGGGGUGCUUGUGAAAGCAAGCCGCAGUGAAUAGGCCCAGGCGACUGUUUAUCAAAAACACAGGUCUCUGCUAAACCGCAAGGUGAUGUAUAGGGGCUGACGCCUGCCCGGUGCUGGAAGGUUAAGAGGAGAGGUUAGCGCAAGCGAAGCUUUGAAUUGAAGCCCCAGUAAACGGCGGCCGUAACUAUAACGGUCCUAAGGUAGCGAAAUUCCUUGUCGGGUAAGUUCCGACCCGCACGAAAGGCGUAACGAUCUGGGCGCUGUCUCAACAAGAGACUCGGUGAAAUCAUAGUACCUGUGAAGAUGCAGGUUACCCGCGACAGGACGGAAAGACCCCGUGGAGCUUUACUGUAGCUUGAUAUUGAGCACUGGUGGCACAUGUACAGGAUAGGUAGGAGACGAAGAAACCAGGACGCCAGUCUUGGUGGAGUCGCUGUUGGGAUACUACCCUUGUGUCACUGGGGUUCUAACCCGUGGCCCUUAUCGGGUCAGGGAACAGUGUCAGGUGGGCAGUUUGACUGGGGCGGUCGCCUCCCAAAGAGUAACGGAGGCGCCCAAAGGUUCCCUCAGAAUGGUUGGAAAUCAUUCGAAGAGUGUAAAGGCAGAAGGGAGCUUGACUGCGAGACCUACAAGUCGAGCAGGGACGAAAGUCGGGCUUAGUGAUCCGGCGGUACCGAAUGGAAGGGCCGUCGCUCAACGGAUAAAAGCUACCCCGGGGAUAACAGGCUGAUCUCCCCCAAGAGUUCACAUCGACGGGGAGGUUUGGCACCUCGAUGUCGGCUCAUCGCAUCCUGGGGCUGAAGUAG